CCACACACACGCUGGAGUAGGGUUUAAAAAGGGGCUUGUUUAAUUAAUUAAAUACAAGGAUGAGGCCAGCUCAGAGACCCCCCACACACACUCACACCCCCUGAGGAUGCCGGACCACCCAUGGGGGCCCAGAAAAAAAUGAAUCCGUGCCUGAAAAAAUAUUCUACCCGGUGCAAAAAAAACGAGCUACCCCAGGAGGCUGCACAGCCAGCCCUCUGCUUCCAGUCCACGAGGCAAGACCUCAACCACGGGCCAGGGCCCACCUCUUCCAAGCACCCAGGAGAAGGAGGGGAGGCCAGGGAAGCAGGGCCGGGCCAGGCUGCAGCCCAGGCCCGGAAGAGCCUGCAACCCCGGCGGGCAUGGGCUCCACGGCCCCACCUGCAGGCCAGGGAGGGCAGCGCAGCCCAACGGCCGCAGUCGUCAAGGGAGAGUUGAUUGUCACGUGAUACCGCAAAGGCCAAAGUCAGCAAGGCAGGGACUGGAGGGCCAAGCCCGGU
RNAcentral lists this non-coding RNA (497 nucleotides) under Pan troglodytes (chimpanzee). The record is from RNAcentral. Lineage: Eukaryota; Metazoa; Chordata; Mammalia; Primates; Hominidae.